This 29-nucleotide small RNA is filed under the name Bombyx mori (domestic silkworm). RNAcentral's name for it is "ovarian small RNA-33858". The record is from RNAcentral. Lineage: Eukaryota; Metazoa; Arthropoda; Insecta; Lepidoptera; Bombycidae.
UGCCUGAUGGGGUUCGCGUCCCUCCUGGA